Molecule: long non-coding RNA, 111 nt
Organism: Etheostoma cragini (Arkansas darter)
Lineage: Eukaryota; Metazoa; Chordata; Actinopteri; Perciformes; Percidae
Exons: 4
Source: RefSeq, a predicted model, not a curated record
ACAGUUACCAAUUCGAUGGUAAAUAUUUCCCUCGGGAGUUGGUGGAGACCAGAAACUGAGCUAAAAGAGUGAAUGUUGGACUUACAUCUAUCAGGUGGCCAGAAACAAGAA